Molecule: long non-coding RNA, 213 nt
Organism: Aricia agestis (brown argus)
Lineage: Eukaryota; Metazoa; Arthropoda; Insecta; Lepidoptera; Lycaenidae
Exons: 3
Source: RefSeq, a predicted model, not a curated record
AUUCAGAAUGUAGGUAACAGGAGAUGAGUUGGAGGGUGAAUAAUGGGCUACGCUGUUCCCGCAAAAUGUAACAUGUUUUCUGAUGGUUUUCUGUUAACAUUACACUUACUGCAUGUAAUAUGAGAGAGUUCUCUAUACUUACUGUAUUAGGUCAAGACUUAGAAGUAAGUACUUAUUAUUUAAAAAAAAAAAUAUUUAUGUUACAAUAAAAUA